Molecule: non-coding RNA, 82 nt
Organism: Chlamydoabsidia padenii
Lineage: Eukaryota; Fungi; Mucoromycota; Mucoromycetes; Mucorales; Cunninghamellaceae
Source: the annotation of a GenBank genome assembly
GGUGAGAUGGCCGAGUGGUCUAAGGCGCUAGAUUUAGGCUCUAGUACUUUCGAGUGCGUGGGUUCGAAUCCCACUCUCAUCA